Molecule: ribosomal RNA, 305 nt
Filed under: uncultured bacterium
Lineage: Bacteria
Description: partial 16S ribosomal RNA
Rfam family: Bacterial small subunit ribosomal RNA
Source: RNAcentral
ACAGCAGUCGCCGCGGGAAUACGAAGGGUGCAAGCGUUAAUCGGAAUUACUGGGCGUAAAGCGCGCGUAGGUGGUUUGGUAAGAUGGAUGUGAAAUCCCCGGGCUCAACCUGGGAACUGCAUCCAUAACUGCCUGACUAGAGUACGGUAGAGGGUGGUGGAAUUUCCUGUGUAGCGGUGAAAUGCGUAGAUAUAGGAAGGAACACCAGUGGCGAAGGCGACCACCUGGACUGAUACUGACACUGAGGUGCGAAAGCGUGGGGAGCAAACAGGAUUAGAGACCCCUGUAGUCCCUGUCUCUUAUAA